This 305-nucleotide ribosomal RNA is filed under the name uncultured bacterium. RNAcentral describes it as "bacterial SSU rRNA". It matches the Rfam family "Bacterial small subunit ribosomal RNA", at positions 338 to 657 of the family's 1533-position model. The record is from RNAcentral.
CCUACGGGGGGCAGCAGUGGGGAAUAUUGGGCAAUGGGCGCAAGCCUGACCCAGCAACGCCGCGUGAAGGAAGAAGGCCCUCGGGUUGUAAACUUCUUUUAUCAAGGACGAAACAAAUGACGGUACUUGAUGAAUAAGCCACGGCUAACUACGUGCCAGCAGCCGCGGUAAUACGUAGGUGGCAAGCGUUAUCCGGAUUUACUGGGUGUAAAGGGCGUGUAGGCGGGACUGCAAGUCAGAUGUGAAAACCAUGGGCUCAACCCAUGGCCUGCAUUUGAAACUGUAGUUCUUGAGUGUUGGAGAGG